AAAAGCGGUUCCGCUCGCUGCCGUUUUGAGUCCCGAACGCGGCGUGCCCAGAAAAGGCCAGGAGCCGAGUGAGGAAAUUCAUUUGGCACAAAACUUGUGCUGCUGCUUUUCCUUUCUCUGUUCCAAAUGUCCCAUGUUUAGUUCUGGAACAGCCUCGGUGUGACGUAUGACGUUGGACGAGUUCCACCCCUUCAUUGAGGCGCUCCUGCCGCAGGUGCGCGCCUUCGCCUACACGUGGUUCAACCUGCAGGCCAGGAAGAGAAAGUACUUCAAGAAGCACGAGAAGAGGAUGACCAAAGACGAAGAGCGGGCCGUUAAGGAAGAGCUCCUCGGCGAGAAGGCAGAGGUGAAGCAGAAGUGGGCCAGUCGCCUUCUGGCUAAACUGCGGAAAGACAUCCGUCCAGAAUGUCGAGAGGACUUUGCCAUGUCGGUGACGGGCAAGAAGGCGGCCUGCUGCGUCCUGUCCAACCCUGACCAGAAAGGCAAAAUGCGACGCAUCGACUGCCUCAGACAGGCCGACAAGGUGUGGCGGCUGGACCUGGUGAUGGUGAUCCUGUUCAAGGGGAUCCCGCUGGAGAGCACGGACGGCGAGCGUCUGGUCAAGGGUGGCCAGUGUGCCAACCCGCUGCUGUGCGUGCAGCCCGGACACAUCUCCGUCUCCGUCAAGGAGCUCGACCUUUACCUGGCCUACUACGUCCAUCACAAAGAGGAGGGGAGCAGUCCCGCUCGGACGGCAUCCGAUCAGGAGGACGGUCGCGGCACCGCGACGGAUGGUCCCGAGUUCCGAGACGCCUUUGUGACCUCUGGAGUUUUCAACGUCACCGAGCUGGUGCGGGUGUCCAGAACUCCCGUCGUCUCAGGGGUGGCGCCGAGUUUCUCCAUUGGCGAGCUUCAAGGCCACCUGGCCUAUGAUCUCAACCACGCAAUCCCCCAGUCCGUCAACAUGCGCCGCUCGCUCACCAGCACCUCGUCUGGCGGGAGCAAGCGGCAUAAAUCGGGCUCCGUGGAGGAGGAGGUGAACAGUCCAGGAGGAGAAUAUUACCACUCGCCGUCCUCCCCGGCCAGCAGUUCCAGAAACUGGACGGACGACAUGGAAGGAGGUGUGUCUCCUCCAGUGAAGAAGGCCGAGCUGGAUAGUCCUUCAGCGCGGGAGGACUCGCCCAGGUCCUUCACUCAGCAUCAUCGGCCUGUCAUCGCAGUGCACAGCGGCCUGUCCCGCGCUCACCCGUCGCAGUCUUUGCACUUUGCCUCCUCGUCCUACUUCCCGCACGGAGCCAUCCGUUACCCUCCUCACUUAGGCCAGGACCCACUGAAGGAUCUGGUCUCUCUGGCCUGUGAGCCCGCCAAUCAAAGCUCGCAUAAUGGCAGCAACCAGCUCAAAGCAAGCGACCACUACCUGUCCUCUCAGAUGCUGGCGCCCGGCCUGGGGCCGUCGUCCUUGGGUCGGCCCGCCGACGUCAAGCCCGCCAGCACCUCCUCGGAUGCGGCCACGAGCUCGCCCACGUCACCAACGUACUCGGCUCCCGGAACCCCGGGGACGCCCCCCGCCGCUCGUUCUUCCUUUGUGGGCAUCGCGCCUCGAGACCCCGGUGGACUCUACCAAGCCCAGGUUGGUCCCGACCUCGCUGCACACUCGUACUGAGUCUUACAAAGUCCAUCUGCUGUGGGCACCCGGCGUCGAAUUGGACAUCGAGCGACACAUCGGCACGUUAAACUCUUGGUAUCUGGGCAACUGAAACACACGGUGAUCUCGUCUCCGUGCGCUCACACCGCCCCUAACUCCAGCCUAACAUUCUGUGGGGGGCCAUUUACGCUAUCCGGUUUCCGGGCCUAGUGCGGGUGCGGGCCCACUGAGGGCCACUCGGACUGCAAACGGCUUUUGAGAACCGGUCGCCGCAAGAAUUUGCCGGCAAAGGACGUCAAUCCAGCCUUUAAGCCCGCCCCUCCCUGCAGGUGCUGCUUAUUAUCAUAUAUGCAAAUAAGCCUUGCUCUUUUUUUCCUCUAUUCCACAAAAGACUUGGACAAGCGAGAGAAAGCGAGACUGUCUUUUCAUUCAAACUUGGUGUUUGCACUUUUCCCCCUUCCCUUCUUCAUCGUCCCCACAAAGAACAAAAAGAAAGAGGAGAAAAAGAAUGACUCGGAUUGACAAUCUGCGUGGGCGUGAAAGCGUGAUGUCGUUCUCAAGUACGCUUUGAUAGACACGAGUGCGGGGCGCUCUUUUGGAGGCGAGCAAGCAUCACUUAGGCGGUGAAGAAGGACGCCCAUGAAGGACAAUCUCAUUGGGAGAUGCGAUUUUUGGCCGGGCGCUGUCCAAAUGCUGAAUAGCGACUCACUCACUCUUGCGUCACUGCGACGAAGCCUUGCUGUGAAGACAUGUAAAAAGGAUUUGGAGCCAUGGCCUAUACAAGCAAUGGGGAAUGCUCUCGCUCUCUCUCUCUCUCUCUCUCUCUCUCUCUCUCUCUCUCUCUCUCUCUCUCUCUCUCUCUCUGUCUCUGUCUGUCUCUGUCUCUGUCUCUGUCUCUGUCUCUGUCUCUGUCUCUGUCUCUGUCUCUGUCUCUGUCUCUGUCUCUGUGUCUGUGUCUGUGUCUGUGUCUGUGUCUGUCUCUGUCUGUCUCUCUCUCUGUCUCUGUCUGUCUCUCUCUCUGUCUCUCUCUCUGUCUCUGUCUCUCUCUCUCUGUGUCUCUCUCUCUGUGUCUCUCUCUCUGUGUCUCUCUCUCUUUCUUUUUUUUUGCCCAGCCCAAGACUUCCACUGGGAGUCCUUGCCAUCCCUCCAGCCCUGCUCGCCAGACCGUUUUGAAAGUCUGUUUUGCACGAUAUGUCCGAAAAACACGGAAUGUGCCUUGCCUUCCUUUGGUUCAACAAGAAGAAUGACACAUUUUGCAAAUGUAGGAAAAACAUCUCCCGUACCGCUGCAAGAAAAGCAAACAAAAAAGUUGCAUGCCAGAUUGCUUGACGCUACGUCGCCUCGCGGGUCGGCAAAGGGUCACUUGGACGUAUUCAAAGCAAGUUGAUCACUGAGCAUACCUUCCACAUCCACUAGCGACGAAAUCUGCAAUAUGUAGAGCACAUGAAAUCCUUUUUUUUUUUUUUUUAAACACUAUCAUCUGCCUUGAAAGAGUCAAAGGACACUUCAGCCCAGUAAAAGAAACUUUUCAAGGUAUUUCAAGGCCUGUUUCCGCUCACGAUCAAGAAGCGGACAACUAUCAUAUCACAUCAGUUUGAGGAAAGGAACUCAUGCGAGCGUCAUAUCGUAUAGACUCUAUACGAUAGACUCCCACUUGAAGUUGACUGCAAAAAGCACAAAGGAAAAGAGACUGGAACUUUGCAUCUUUAAACACCAAAGUGUUCAACCAAAACGUUUGAAGGCAUUGCUAACGUCCUGCUCUAACGGAAAUCAGUAUGAAGGAAUAGAAAACUUUGCAAGUUGGUGGCAAACGCAAACUAGCAAAAAGCUUUGUGUGUCCUCGAACUUGCCAUCGGUGCCCAUUGCCUUUAGCAGCAACAAGAGGAGCCGGGUUGCAUGGCAGCAUGGUGCGUCGGCUGACAACAACACAGGUGAACUCCCGCUCAUUAUCUCAUUCAUUGUACAUGCUUGCUAUGGCACCAAUAACCAUGUGGGGGACAGCCACCAGAGACACAAAAAUCCACCCCCCUCCCCACAAAAAAAAAAAACUGACCGAUCAACCACCUACUUAACUGAUCUGCCAACCAAUCAAUUGGUGAUUCUACAAAAAAAACAACCAAUGAGUCAUCGGUUAACCAACCAAACAGCAAAUCAAUCGACCUAUUGACAAAUGAAGCAAUUGACUAGUCCCCCAGCCAAUCGACCAAUCAAUUGCCCAAACAGCCAACCAACAGCAACUAACUAUAAGCUACUAACCCCAAUAAUGAUCAACCUACCCACCAGCUAAUCAAUUGACUAACCAACUGAGCAAUCAACCAGUGGGCUAAUCAAGUAACCGAUCAAAGAAAUGAGUAACCUACAAAACAACCAACAGACGCACUGACAAAUCAACGACAACCAUUGCACAAGCAGCCAACGACUCGACUAUUUAACUAACCAACCAACGAUUGACCAACCUAAAAGUCAACCAACUGAUGACCUCACUAAUUUACCAACUGUAGCCAGUCUGAUCCCCGUUGAAGUAAAAGUGCCCCAAUUACCACAUGUAGAAAACCUUUUUUCCGUAAUUUGAGAGCUAAUAGACAAAAUAUCAAACAUCAAAAUGGUUUUCAUGAUAAACUGGGAUUAAGACAAAAGAGACAAUACAAUCAAGUGAUCCGACAUUCAAGAUAGCUGCCUUUUAAAGAUGUACAUAAUUUGACUCCCAUUUGUAGAAGCAACUUAUUCGAAGCUGUAUUUUCCGGACUAUAAGUCGUGCAGAGUAUAAAUCGCACCAGCCAUAAGAUACAUAAUAAAGACGAAAAAUACAUAAUCGCACUGGAGUAUAAAUUGCAUUUAUGGGGGAAAUUUAUUUGACAAAAUCCAACAAGAACAGACAUGAAUAACCAACAACAAGCUGAACUGUAUAGUAUGCUAACGUUACAUAAACACAUGAACGGGUAAAUGGGAACGUGCCUGAUGUAACAUUAAGAGUUAUUCAAAUAACUAUAGCAUAAAUAACAUGCUAACUAGUUUAUUGAACCAUCCGCGUCACUCAAUCACUCAUUAAAUCCAACGAAACCUUCAUCCUUGGUGUCACUUAUAAACAACUCCGCUAACCCCGGGAGUACAAGAUGCAGCGCUUCCUCUUGUACGUAGCUUACGUCAGACUCAUCGUCAGUUGCAGUUCCAAAUAUUCCACAGGCCUAGAGCGCCCUCAUGCGGUUUAAUGUGAAAAUAACGUGAGGUUAUAUAAUAAUGUGUUAAUAAGUUUACAUAUAAGCCGCUCCUGAGUAUAAGUCGCACCCAAACUAUGAAAAAAACGGAUUAAAUACGGUACUUUCUUUCCCCAAGCACAGCCUCCAAUUUACACUCUAAAAAGAAAAACGUCGCAGGCCUGAUCGCAACCCGUCCAGUAGGUGGCGUCCUCGCCAAAGGAAUUAAUCGAUGUACUCACAGUUCAGAAGACCCGCAGCAGGGACCGUGACGUGGUGCUCCAGUGAAGCAAAAGUAUACCUGCGACAAGCAUCAACCCUCUGUAAUCCAAAUUCCUUGGAUGGUGCUUCUUCGCGCCUCUGACGCGGCUCCCUCCAUUAGCCAGCUAGCAAGCUAUAAGCGCGGCUAGCUGUAGCUAACUAGCUGGUUGACGCUUGACCUGCAAAGGUAAUAAGAACAUAUUACCCAAUGUGUACAAGCGUCCCGGAGUUUAGAGUGUCGCCUUCUUGGCUACACGUCACCACUUGAUUACUAGAAGAAUGUUCUUCAACAUUGAUCACCUUUUGAUAAUCACUUUGGUCCGCACCCUUUCUCCUCUGUCUCUUUCUCCUUCACUGAUUGGCUCUGCAUCUUCUUUGAUGAUAACUGAGACGGGUCAAUCAAAGGAAAUUACGGAUAUAAUAAAGGUUAAAUAGGCAAGUAUUUUUUGAAAUACAAUGAAUUAUUUACAAAUGUUUAAUCCAACAAAACACUUCUAUAUUUAUGUUACACAUAUUAAUCACUUUGUCAAUUUAUUUUUUUAAAUACUACUAAUACUUUUUAAAAACAAAAUAGUCAUAAAUUGUUCAGACAUCAUCAGCCCAAAAUACUGACCAACUAACCAGUAAAAUAAUUAACUUACCAUCCAAUGACUUAACUCAUCAACUGACCAGUUGACUGUUCAACUGACCAAACAGUCACAUGACAGUCUGACUGACCAAUUGACCAACCAGCCCGUGAGCAGACUAAUCAACCAAGCAACCAAUUGCCCUACAAAGUCAACAAACCAAUCAAGUACAGACUAAAUAAGUAAUCUGUCAGUUGACCAACUCAAAGAAAGAAAAUUAGCCAACCAACCAGAUUUGAAGGCAGUGAAGAAGCCUUUUGGAUUUCUGCUGGAACUUCCUGUCAACUUGUCAUCUGGACGCUGCCCUUUGUGAUUUUCGGUGCCACCACAACAUCUGGAACACUUAACGGAUGCAAAGCGAAGCUGGCCUUGCGCAUAAAAGGAACCUUUCGCCGUUGACGCUUGACUUUAUUGGACGGGCAGUCGUGGAAGGGUCUACUCACUUUGAAAUCAGCUCAUCUUUACUCUAACGCUACAGCGCUUAAUUGAGAGCUGACACUUUAGUUGCACUCGACACUCCAGACAACAAGGGGCGGUGAGGGAAACGUGUGCUGCUACUGCUGCUACGCUAUAGCUAAGCGAAGCGGUGAAUGACAGCAUGGGCCGGCCUGAGCUCCGAUGGGCCGUUUGUUUUUUAUUAUUUUGCAUGUGCCCUUAUUAAGUUUAUCCAAUGAUGAAACACACACGUGUCUAAAUACUGAAUGUAUAUGAAAUGUUUAACCAACCAGUGGCCAAGCCACAUGCGCGCGAUCGUGAUGCUUAAGAUGCUAAAGCUAGCCUCUGCCAGGAGGAUAAAGUUUUUCUUUGCAAAGGAACAAAAAUGAGCGAGUGAAAUGUGAGAGCAAAAAAGACCAAAGCCAUGCAAAUUGUAUUACAAGGACAUUUUCGUUCAAGUUUUGAUUCCCUCAAAGGGCUUUUUUUGUCGCCCCCUCUCAAACCAAAGGUGACCAUUGUGUUCAUUUAGCCGAAUGUUCUUUGCUUUCCAUGCGUGCGAUGCCAUCUUGAUAUCAAACUUGAAAAUUACAUUUUGUGAAGGUAGGAAGAAGGGAAGCUGCCACGCAGAAGGAAAACAAUGCAAAGGCUGUGGGUUUUGCGGUUACAAGCUAAAUGAAUAGCUUGAGCAUUUAGCAUUCAUAGCUGCUUCUUGUUUUUCAACCAAAUGUCAUUUGUGUCUUGCGGUAUCAUUUUAGGCGGGCGAGCCACGAUGCAUGUGCUUUAGCAAACAUGGAAAUGAUGCAAUUUGCUGGAUUGAGCUCAGUCCGUGUGGUGACGGCACUUGGCAUUGUUUCCGUACGACUAGCAUGGAACGCUAACACGUCUAUUACGCUAAACUUUUUGGUGUUUUGCAAACAACAAAAAAAUUAUUUCAGUUGGUUUUCAUCGUGUUUCCAUUUGGAUUGUUUUUGGAAGGCCGCCCACCCAUGCGCCCACCCAUCCGUUUUCAGGCCGCACAAUAGCAGCGCAAGCAAAAAGCCAAGCUAGCGGCUCGUCACCAUUGCAAAACAACACCAUCCGCUUCACACUUGAAUGUCAGAUUGCAAUGUUCACUUUUUGGUGGUAAGUCAUCACGUUCAAAUGGAAUAAGUUUGUCUUCCGCUUAAGUCGAUAGCAGUCUUUUACUGAGGAAUCAAAUUUACUCACUCCGUAACUAGCGUUACAACAAGGCCAAGCGCUAAAAUGGAUUCAAAAUUUUGAACGGACUUUGCAUCCGGCAGUUGGAAGAAAUUGCUUCCGUUUGUUUUGCUUCAUGUGGAAUUCACACACAUUCCUCAACGUUGUGACUUAUCACAUUCCAUCUUGAAACUUUUUUUUCCUAGUGUGGUAGCAACGUGCUUAACAUGUGUGCAUCUUCCCCACUCUCUUUCCUUAAUAAAAAAAAAAAAAGCGAAUGCAAAAUUUUUCAUAUCAACCCUUAUUUAUUUGCAUGCCACGUCAAUCGUAAAAUGAGGAAGUGACAUCAUCCCAACAUGUUCAGUUCUUGCAUUUGGGCGAUGCUGAUGGAUUCCUUUCUUUGAGUAUGUUUGCCUAUGCAAAAAUAAAGAAGCUAAAUCACAA
This is an RNA transcript of Syngnathus typhle (broad-nosed pipefish), 7760 nucleotides long. It is a transcript of the gene named nuclear factor I/C, with no coding region annotated. The transcript is spliced from 13 exons. The record is from RefSeq and is a predicted model, not a curated record. NCBI's taxonomy places the organism in Eukaryota, Metazoa, Chordata, Actinopteri, Syngnathiformes, Syngnathidae.